GGCCUUUAGAUUAUGAUUUAAGGUCUAGCCUGCCCACUGAGGAAUUAAAUGGCCGCAGUAAUUUGACUGUGCUAAGGUAGCAUAAUCAAUAGUUUUUUAAUUGAAAGCUGGAAUGAAAGGUAAAAUGAGAAAAAAACUGUCUUAUUUAAAAUAAUGGAACUUUAUUUUUAAAUAAAAAAGUUUAAAUAAAAUUAAAAGACGAGAAGACCCUAUAGAGUUUUAUAUUUUUUAGAACUUAAUAUUUAAGAAUUUAAAAAAUUAAUUUUUAACAAAUAUUUGGUUGGGGUGAUUGUAAAAUUUAAAAAACUUUUAUUUAUUUAUUCACUAAUUUGUGAUUAUUUGAUCCAUUAUUUAUGAUUAAAAGAUUAAAUUACCUUAGGGAUAACAGCGUAAUUUUUUUAGAGAGUUCUAAUCGAAAAAAGAGUUUGCGACCUCGAUGUUGGAUUAAAGUUAAAUUUUGGGGGAGAAGUUAAAAAUUUAAGUCUGUUCGACUUUUAAAACUUUACAUGAUCUGAGUUUAAACCGGUGUGAGCCAGGUUGGUUUCUAUCUUUAAUAAAAUAAAAUAUUUUAGUACGAAAGGACCAAAUAUUUAAUUUAAAAUUUUUAUUAAGAAUUUUAUUAUUAUUUUGGCAGAUUAGUGCGAUAGAUUUAGAAUCUUUAUAUGUAUUUUAUACAAAUAAUACUUGAUAUUAACUAAUUUAAUUUUAUCAAUUGUAUGUAAUUUAAUUUUAAUUAUUUGUGUAUUAAUUGGAGUGGCUUUUUUAACUUUAUUGGAAC
Molecule: ribosomal RNA, 778 nt
Filed under: Uleiota dubius
Lineage: Eukaryota; Metazoa; Arthropoda; Insecta; Coleoptera; Silvanidae
Description: partial 16S ribosomal RNA
Rfam family: Bacterial large subunit ribosomal RNA (bases 1-575)
Source: RNAcentral